CUGGUGGUAUCCAGGGAUCACCAGUUGCAGGCCAGAGUACUAUGCAGAGACUUUGACGGCUCAGGCCAGCACAAUACCUGUAGCUGGCGCUUACUGUUCAUAUAAUG
This 107-nucleotide small nucleolar RNA is filed under the name Octodon degus (degu). RNAcentral describes it as "Small nucleolar RNA SNORA44 (ENSODEG00000022801.1)". It matches the Rfam family "Small nucleolar RNA SNORA44", at positions 24 to 131 of the family's 131-position model. Rfam says of the family: ACA44 is a member of the H/ACA class of snoRNA that guide the sites of modification of uridines to pseudouridines. Lineage: Eukaryota; Metazoa; Chordata; Mammalia; Rodentia; Octodontidae. The record is from RNAcentral.